AACGAACGCUGGCGGCAGGCUUAACACAUGCAAGUCGAACGCACCUUUCGGGGUGAGUGGCAGACGGGUGAGUAACGCGUGGGAAUCUACCCUUCUCUACGGGAUAGCUCCGGGAAACUGGAAUUAAUACCGUAUACGUCCUGAGGGAGAAAGAUUUAUCGGGGAAGGAUGAGCCCGCGUUGGAUUAGCUAGUUGGUGGGGUAAAGGCCUACCAAGGCGACGAUCCAUAGCUGGUCUAAGAGGAUGAUCAGCCACAUUGGGACUGAGACACGGCCCAAACUCCUACGGGAGGCAGCAGUGGGGAAGAUUGGACAAUGGGCGCAAGCCUGAUCCAGCCAUGCCGCGUGAGUGAUGAAGGCCCUAGGGUUGUAAAGCUCUUUCAGUGGGGACGAUAAGGACGGUACCCACAGAAGAAGCCCCGGCUAACUUCGU
This 432-nucleotide ribosomal RNA is filed under the name uncultured bacterium. Its description in RNAcentral is "partial 16S ribosomal RNA". It matches the Rfam family "Bacterial small subunit ribosomal RNA", at positions 29 to 506 of the family's 1533-position model. The record is from RNAcentral.